UUGGAGGGCAAGUCUGGUGCCAGCAGCCGCGGUAAUUCCAGCUCCAAUAGCGUAUAUUAAAGUUGUUGCAGUUAAAAAGCUCGUAGUUGAACCUCGGGAUCGAUGGAUCGGUCAUGCCAUCGGUAUGUACUGGUCCCAUCGGUUCUCACCUUCUAAGGAACCAUGAUGUCAUUCAUUUGAUGUUUUGGGGAAUUAGGACUGUUACCUUGAAAAAAUUAGAGUGUUUAAAGCAGGCCAACGCUUGAAUACAUUAGCAUGGAAUAAUGAAAUAGGACAUCGCAUUCUAUUUUGUUGGUUUCUAGGAUCGAUGUAAUGAUUAAUAGGGAUAGUUGGGGGCAUUAGUAUUCAAUUGUCAGAGGUGAAAUUCUUGGAUUUAUUGAAGACUAACUACUGCGAAAGCAUUUGCCAAGGAUGUUUUCAUUAAUCAAGAACGAAAGUUAGGGGAUCGAAGACGAUCAGAUACCGUCGUAGUCUUAACCAUAAACUAUGCCGACUAGGGAUCGGAUGAUGUUGAUUUUUUAAUGACUCAUUCGGCGCCUUACGGGAAAC
This 549-nucleotide ribosomal RNA is filed under the name uncultured Glomus. Its description in RNAcentral is "SSU rRNA". It matches the Rfam family "Eukaryotic small subunit ribosomal RNA", at positions 548 to 1098 of the family's 1831-position model. The record is from RNAcentral. Lineage: Eukaryota; Fungi; Glomeromycota; Glomeromycetes; Glomerales; Glomeraceae.